UACAGAGGGUGCGAGCGUUAAUCGGAAUUACUGGGCGUAAAGCGCACGUAGGCGGCUUGGUAUGUCGGGUGUGAAAUCCCCGGGCUCAACCCGGGAACUGCGUCCGAUACUGGAAGGCUUGAAUCCGGGAGAGGGAUGCGGAAUUCCAGGUGUAGCGGUGAAAUGCGUAGAUAUCUGGAGGAACUCCGGUGGCGAAGGCGGCAUACUGGACCACUACUGACGCUGAUGCGCGAAAGCCAGGGGAGCAAACGGG
RNAcentral lists this ribosomal RNA (253 nucleotides) under uncultured bacterium. Its description in RNAcentral is "partial 16S ribosomal RNA". It matches the Rfam family "Bacterial small subunit ribosomal RNA", at positions 524 to 776 of the family's 1533-position model. The record is from RNAcentral.